GCAUAUAUUAUAAGAGGUCUUACCUGCCCAGUGACGCAAGUUUNAACGGCCGCGGUAUUUUGACCGUGCAAAGGUAGCGUAAUCAAUCGUCUUUUAAAUGGAGACCUGUAUGAAUGGUGAAACGAAAACUCAACUGUCUCAUUCUUUUAACCAAUGAAAUUGUUUUUUCCGUGCGGAAGCGGGAAUAAAUCCAUAAGACAAAAAGACCCUGUGGAGCUUUAGACUUCUGCUUACAUCUUAGAUUGGGGCGAUCACGGAGAAAACAUACCCUCCCUGAAGAAAUUCAUAAUUAAGAGCUACCGCUCUAAAUAUUAAAAUAUUUGACUUUAUGAACCGGCUCGCCGAUUAACGAACCCAGUUACCCCAGGGAUAACAGCGCAAUCCCCUUAAAGAGCACUUAUCACCAAGGGGGUUUACGACCUCGAUGUUGGAUCAGGACAUCCUAAUGGCGCAUCCACUAUUAAGGGUUCGUUUGUUCAACGAUUAAAGUCCU
Molecule: ribosomal RNA, 493 nt
Filed under: Garcialebias reicherti
Lineage: Eukaryota; Metazoa; Chordata; Actinopteri; Cyprinodontiformes; Rivulidae
Description: Austrolebias reicherti partial 16S ribosomal RNA
Rfam family: Bacterial large subunit ribosomal RNA
Source: RNAcentral